UCCAACAAGGGGUGCGGAGCUCAGUCCACAGAUUAUCUCGAUGAUCAUAUCGACGAUAUUCACCUUCUUGCUAGCGGAUCUUUCGAGAUCCGUUUUUUCAGGUCAUGGAGCUUUUUGUGCCGUUUCGGUCUCGGAACGGGAAGGAGCUUUUUGUCC
Agrobacterium tumefaciens is the source of this 156-nucleotide small RNA. It matches the Rfam family "Rhizobiales sRNA Atu_C3". NCBI's taxonomy places the organism in Bacteria, Pseudomonadati, Pseudomonadota, Alphaproteobacteria, Hyphomicrobiales, Rhizobiaceae. The record is from Rfam.